AUUGAACGCUGGCGGCAUGCCUUACACAUGCAAGUCGAACGGCAGGCACGGGAGCGAAUCCUGGUGGCGAGUGGCGAACGGGUGAGUAAUAUAUCGGAAGUACCCGGUCGUGGGGGAUAACGUAGCGAAAGCUACGCUAUACCGCAUACGAUCUACGGAUGAAANCGGGGGACCGCAAGACCUCGCGCGAUUGGAGCGGUCGAUAUCAGAUUAGGUAGUUGGUGAGGUAAAGGCUCACCAAGCCGACGAUCUGUAGCUGGUCUGAGAGGACGACCAGCCACACUGGGACUGAGACACGGCCCAGACUCCUACGGGAGGCAGCAGUGGGGAAUUUUGGACAAUGGGCGCAAGCCUGAUCCAGCAAUGCCGCGUGCAGGAUGAAGGCCUUCGGGUUGUAAACUGCUUUGUACGGAACGAAACGGUGAGCUCUAAUACAGUUUGCUAAUGACGGUACCGUAAGAAUAAGCACCGGCUAACUACGUG
RNAcentral lists this ribosomal RNA (483 nucleotides) under uncultured bacterium. Its description in RNAcentral is "bacterial SSU rRNA". It matches the Rfam family "Bacterial small subunit ribosomal RNA", at positions 30 to 507 of the family's 1533-position model. The record is from RNAcentral.